RNAcentral lists this ribosomal RNA (441 nucleotides) under Triticum aestivum (bread wheat). RNAcentral describes it as "partial small subunit ribosomal RNA". Lineage: Eukaryota; Viridiplantae; Streptophyta; Magnoliopsida; Poales; Poaceae. The record is from RNAcentral.
AUGACCGGUGUCGGAAUGAAGCAUUUGUCAGACAACCGGAACAUCGCCGACGCUGCAAUGGAGCAUCACCGGCGCUGCGAUGGAGGGUCGUCGGGCUGUCGGGGUAUCGCCGGUGCCGUGAUGGAGCAUUCGUCGGACCGUCGAAACAUCGACGGUGUUGCAUGGGAGCAUCAACGGUGCUACGAUGAAGCAUCAUCGGACCGUCCAAACAUCAUCCGUGCUGUGAUGGAGCAUUCGUCGGACCGUCGAAACAUCGAUGGCGUUGAAUGGAAGCAUCACCGGUGCUACGAUAAAGCAUCGUCGGACCGUCCAAACAUCGUCGGUGCUGCAAUGGAGCAUCGCCGAGCCGUCGGAGCAUCACCGACGCUGCAAUGGAGCAUAGCUGGGUGGCGAAGUAUGGCCGGUGCAGCAAUGGAGCAUCAAUGGUGCUUGAAAGGGUGA